RNAcentral lists this ribosomal RNA (513 nucleotides) under uncultured bacterium. Its description in RNAcentral is "partial 16S ribosomal RNA". It matches the Rfam family "Bacterial small subunit ribosomal RNA", at positions 28 to 523 of the family's 1533-position model. The record is from RNAcentral.
GACGAACGCUGGCGGCAUGCCUAAUACAUGCAAGUCGAGCGAACAGAUGAAGUGCUUGCACUUCUGACGUUAGCGGCGAACGGGUGAGUAACACGCAAGGAAGCUACCUAUCAGCGGGGGAUAACAUUCGUAAACGGGUGCUAAUACCGCAUAAUCUCUUCUUCUGCAUGGAACACGAUUGAAAGACGGCUCUGCUGUCACUUAUAGCUGACCUUGCGGUGCAUUAGUUAGUUGGUGGGGUAAUGGCCUACCAAGACGAUGGUGCAUAGCCGACCUGCGAGGGUGAUCGGCCACAUUGGGACUGAGACACGGCCCAAACUCCUACGGGAGGCAGCAGUAGGGAAUCUUCCGCAAUGGGCGAAGGCCUGACGGAGCAAUGCCGCGUGAGUGAAGAAGGCCUUCGGGUCGUAAAACUCUGUUAUAAGAGAAGAACAAAUUGUAGAGUAACUGCUACAGUCUUGACGGUAUCUUAUCAGAAAGCCACGGCUAACUACGUGCCAGCCGCCGCAGUAA